RNAcentral lists this long non-coding RNA (1968 nucleotides) under Citrus sinensis (sweet orange). RNAcentral describes it as "long non-coding RNA (CSIN_LNC002745)". The record is from RNAcentral. Lineage: Eukaryota; Viridiplantae; Streptophyta; Magnoliopsida; Sapindales; Rutaceae.
UUAUUUGGAGCCUAGGGUUUUCACUAAAGGAUGAUAUAAAAGGCUUAUUUUUCCCAAAAGAAAAGAAAAAAGCCACUAUAUACAGAUCAGAGAAUAAGAUUUUUCUCUCCAUUGUUGAGAGAAAAAUUUUCUCGUGCUAGUUGCUUUGGUAGUGAUAAAGGCGCCCACACGUCAAGUGCAGAUCGAACCUGAGUCAUAACCUGGAAGAUCAUUGGAGACAGUUCGUGAUCUAACAAGCGUGGUGGUGACGGAUCGUGAUCUAACAGGAGUGGUGGUGGCGGAUCGUGAUCUAGGAGCCUAAAUCACUUCAGCAGAAAAAACCAACUCAGAUUUUCAAGGUACGAUUUCUAGAAUACAAAUUCUUAUAUAUUAUAUGAGAGUGAUCUUCAAAAGGUUUAAUAAAAAUUAAAAAACCUAAUUUUUCCCCAACAUAAUAUACAUAUCCCCUCGGGUGUUUGAAUAAUUCAUAUUCAAUUUGUAUUUAUUAGUAUGCAUGUAUAUUGGUUGGCGCAUGUAAAUGAAAUCUGUAUGUCGAAACUUGCAUGCAAAGGCCACGUGAAGCACAUCUAAAUGGGGCCGUGUGUAGAGAUGGCAAAACUCCGGGCCGGGUCUGGGUCUGGGCCAGAUUUUAAUCUGGGUACCUGAAUUUUAUAUUUUUUAAUAUUUUAUGUGUAUAUAUUUUUUAUUUUUUAGUAAUUUUAUAAGUUUUAAAUUUANNNNNNNNNNNNNNNNNNNNNNNNNNNNNNNNNNNNNNNNNNNNNNNNNNNNNNNNNNNNNNNNNNNNNNNNNNNNNNNNNNNNNNNNNNNNNNNNNAUAUAUAUUUUAUAAUUUUUUUAAUAAAAUCCGGGUUCCGGAGUUAUCAAGUAUGCCCAAGACUGACCCGGCUUCAUACCCGGGUCGGGUAUUUUUGCCACCUCUAGCCGUGUGUAGCAUUUAGAGUGCGUUUCGUAUUGAGGUUGGAACGCUACAGCAGUAAAGUGUUUGGUAAACACUAACUGCGAUAACUUGAAAGCUACGUUGAUAUGAUUUUUCACUUGUAUAAUAGAGAAUCUAUUAUAUCUUUAAUAAUCUUGUUAAAAUUAUUAUUUAAAAUUUAUAUUUACUACAUAUUAUAAACUUUUAUUUUAUAAGUACAACUUUUUUUCUACAGCAGCUGUAACUUAAAAGAUACAACACCUCAAUCUCAAACACACCCUUAAUUUUGCUUUAAUUUAUUAAUUUAAAAUCUGUGAAUGGCCAGAAUCAGUUUAGAUAUAUUAUGAGUCAGUUAAUGAUAUUCCUUUUAAAAGAAUUACUCUUAAGUGUACUGUAAAAAUAAUUAAUUGUGAAAAGAAUUAAACAUGUGUUUGGUAAAAUUUAUUUGUAAAAGUACUGUAAAUUUUCAAAGCAAUCAUAUAUAUUUGAUAAAUAUUAGUUUUAAACUGCUAUAAGAAUAUACAUAAUUAAAAAAGAUAUAAUGUUGGAAUAAAAUUUAUUUAAACAUGUAUAUAAAAUAUCUUUGUUAUUGUAUACAUACAAUAUUUGAUAAUUAAAAUAAAUAUUUUAUAUUAUUAAUUUUAUUUAGUAAUAGGUAAUAAUCUCUUUAAAAUUAAUGAUUUGAUUUCUUAAUUGACAAUCUGGUUUUAAGAAUCACUUUUAUACUUAAUAAAAUUUUCUCUCUCUUUAUAUAUAUAAAUUAAUGUAGGGCACGAUUUUUCUCACCAAAAUAGGUGAAAAACAUUAAUAAAUGUUAAAAAAGAAAAUGGAAUUGAUUCAAACCCGACUCGAAUCGAAGAGGCAAUCUUCUGAUCUGGAGGUGGACGAGCCACCAUGGCGCCGCGGAUGCACCUUUCCACGUAAGUACAAUAUUGUCUUUUUAAUUUCGGUAUAAAAUCUGAAACUAAAAUUCAUUAUCACAACUAUGUACCAUUUGAAACCUGAAACUUUGUUACGAUUAAAAGGGUCUCGGCUAGUCUAUUUAAAGAUCAC